AGUCGAACGGCAGCACAGGGUAGCUUGCUAUCCGGGUGGCGAGUGGCGGACGGGUGAGUAACGCGUAGGAAUCUACCUUAUCGUGGGGGAUAACCCGGGGAAACCCGGGCUAAUACCGCAUACGCCCUACGGGGGAAAGCGGGGGACCUUCGGGCCUCGCGCGGAAAGAUGAGCCUGCGUCCUAUCAGGUAGUUGGUGAGGUAAUGGCUCACCAAGCCGACGACGGGUAGCUGGUCUGAGAGGACGACCAGCCACACUGGGACUGAGACACGGCCCAGACUCCUACGGGAGGCAGCAGUGGGGAAUAUUGGACAAUGGGGGAAACCCUGAUCCAGCAAUACCGCGUGUGUGAAGAAGGCCUUCGGGUUGUAAAGCACUUUUAGCAGGAAAGAAAGCCUGUACGCUAAUAUCGUAUGGUUUUGACGUUACCUGCAGAAAAAGCACCGGCUAACUCCGUGCCAGCAGCCGCGGUAAUACGGAGGGUGCAAGCGUUAAUCGGAAUUACUGGGCGUAAAGCGCGCGUAGGCGGCUUGUUAAGUCGAAUGUGAAAUCCCCGGGCUCAACCUGGGAACUGCAUCCGAUACUGGCUGGCUAGAGUGUGGUAGAGGGAAGUGGAAUUCCAGGUGUAGCGGUGAAAUGCGUAGAUAUCUGGGGGAACAUCAGUGGCGAAGGCGGCUUCCUGGACCAACACUGACGCUGAGGCGCGAAAGCGUGGGGAGCAAAUAGGAUUAGAUACCCUGGUAGUCCACGCCGUAAACGAUGUCAACUAGCCGUAGGGAGCAUCUGGCUCUUUGUGGCGCAGCUAACGCGAUAAGUUGACCGCCUGGGGAGUACGGCCGCAAGGCUAAAACUCAAAUGAAUUGACGGGGGCCCGCACAAGCGGUGGAGCAUGUGGU
RNAcentral lists this ribosomal RNA (896 nucleotides) under uncultured soil bacterium. RNAcentral's name for it is "bacterial SSU rRNA". It matches the Rfam family "Bacterial small subunit ribosomal RNA", at positions 60 to 945 of the family's 1533-position model. The record is from RNAcentral.